UCUCCGUUGGUGAACCAGCGGAGGGAUCAUUACAGAGUUAUCUAACUCCCAAACCCAUGUGAACUUACCAUUUGUUGCCUCGGCAGAACCUACCCUGUAGCGGGCUGCCGGCGGACCACUAAACUCUGUUAUACUAUUGUAAUCUGAGCGUCUUAUUUUAAUAAGUCAAAACUUUCAACAACGGAUCUCUUGGUUCUGGCAUCGAUGAAGAACGCAGC
This 218-nucleotide unclassified non-coding RNA is filed under the name uncultured fungus. Its description in RNAcentral is "sequence contains ITS1, 5.8S rRNA gene". The stretch from base 170 to 218 matches the Rfam family "5.8S ribosomal RNA", at positions 1 to 49 of the family's 154-position model. Lineage: Eukaryota; Fungi. The record is from RNAcentral.